AACUUCACAUAUGGUGCUCUGCUUGACCACUUGCUCUGCAAGUUCUGCGAGAAGGCUGCAUUUGUUUCAGACCUGCCAGAGUGUCUGGGACAGCAGUCCUACAAACAACUCCUUGUUUUCCCGUUUCCUUGACCCUAUUGCCAGGCCAAGGCAAAGGGUCUGCCAUGGGCGGCUGCAUGUAAUUUCAUAGGCUGUGCAUCUGAAGUUGACCUCUGCUAUCUGUUUCCUUGUCAUCUCAAACAAGGGAUAAUGCUCUCCUGGGAACAGUUUCACCUCGAAGAGACAGGCAGCUCCUCAAAACAAUAUGGUUAAUCUUCAAGAAUUUGUCUGCCAGCUGUCUUCCAGGAAGCAGAAUCAAGGAAUGGCCUGGUUAUCAAGGGUGGCUGGCUGGAGACCUCCUCUGCCUUCUCCUCUACCAUUGUCACUCUUGCUAUGAUUUACUUAAGGUAUGUUCUGAACCAGUGGAACAAAUGUUCUGUGCUCUCAAAGGCAAAAACUGCCUUGGAAACCAAAGUCAAACCCAAAGAAGGGAAGUGAUGGCCACUCAUUUUGUUACAAACCUCCACCUCAUUUCUGGAGUCCUGUCUGAGAUUUUCAAAUAUAUGCUGCCUGGCAACCUAUGUGCCUUUUAGGCUUUGGGAUGUUAAGAGAGACCAGAGACAACACGCUUCUCAGCUACAAGGACUUUACAGGACAAAACAGAGGGGAAUGGCAGAGAGGAACAGCUGAGAACAAGUGUAUGGUGGCUCUGACAAUCGCCUCCUUGUUUGCUGCCGUCUACCGGAAGACACUUACACAUAUCCAGACCUGUGUGAUCUGGAACUAAGAUCUCUUGAUUUGUUCUUCUGACUCAAACCAUCCCAGAUACGAAACUUUAUAUACUCUAGCACGACUGGCAUUGUUCAUUGCUGCGAGAUCUACGCCUUGGACUCAGAAUCACUGGCCAUAUUUUAUCUGUGAGUGAAUGAUGAAAUCAUCUGGUUGUCUCUGAGAAAGUGUUAAAUGUAGGGGUGGAAUAAAAGGACCAAAGGGCCAAAUUCUGCC
Gallus gallus (chicken) is the source of this 1044-nucleotide long non-coding RNA. NCBI's taxonomy places the organism in Eukaryota, Metazoa, Chordata, Aves, Galliformes, Phasianidae. The record is from Ensembl.